This 936-nucleotide ribosomal RNA is filed under the name seawater metagenome. RNAcentral describes it as "bacterial SSU rRNA". It matches the Rfam family "Bacterial small subunit ribosomal RNA", at positions 191 to 1135 of the family's 1533-position model. The record is from RNAcentral.
CCGCGAUACUCUAAGGGGUACGGAACAAGAUGACUACGCGUCCCACGAGGGUGUUGGUGAGGUAACGGCUCACCUAGACUACGAUAGGUAGGGGCCCUGAGAGGGGGAUCCCCCACACUGGUACUGAGACACGGACCAGACUCCUACGGGAGGCAGCAGUAAGGAAUAUUGGACAAUGGACGAAAGUCUGAUCCAGCCAUGCCGCGUGCAGGAUGAAAGCCCUAUGGGUUGUAAACUGCUUUUAUACAGGAAGAAACACUCGUACGUGUACGAGCUUGACGGUACUGUAAGAAUAAGGACCGGCUAACUCCGUGCCAGCAGCCGCGGUAAUACGGAGGGUCCAAGCGUUAUCCGGAAUCAUUGGGUUUAAAGGGUCCGCAGGCGGUCGAUUAAGUCAGAGGUGAAAUCCCAUAGCUCAACUAUGGAACUGCCUUUGAUACUGGUUGACUUGAGUCAUAUGGAAGUGGAUAGAAUGUGUAGUGUAGCGGUGAAAUGCAUAGAUAUUACAUAGAAUACCAAUUGCGAAGGCAGAUUACUAAUAAUCAACUGACACUGAUGGACGAAAGCGUGGGUAGCGAACAGGAUUAGAUACCCUGGUAGUCCACGCCGUAAACGAUGGUUACUAGCUGUUUGGACUUCGGUCUGAGUGGCUAAGCGAAAGUGAUAAGUAACCCACCUGGGGAGUACGUUCGCAAGAAUGAAACUCAAAGGAAUUGACGGGGGCCCGCACAAGCGGUGGAGCAUGUGGUUUAAUUCGAUGAUACGCGAGGAACCUUACCAGGGCUUAAAUGUAGUCUGACAGCUUUAGAGAUAGAGUUUUCUUCGGACAGAUUACAAGGUGCUGCAUGGUUGUCGUCAGCUCGUGCCGUGAGGUGUCAGGUUAAGUCCUAUAACGAGCGCAACCCCUGUCGUUAGUUGCCAGCAUGUUAUGAUGGG